Molecule: long non-coding RNA, 1202 nt
Filed under: Brassica rapa (field mustard)
Lineage: Eukaryota; Viridiplantae; Streptophyta; Magnoliopsida; Brassicales; Brassicaceae
Description: long non-coding RNA (BRAP_LNC004434)
Source: RNAcentral
GAAUAUCGACCGACGACGAGACGUCGACAUCGUUCGACAUAGGCAACCACACGACGAUCGAUGUAACACUUACCCAUCGAUCGAUAUCUAAUCCGGUCAGAUGUAUCUUCCCAACUUUUUACAUUUCGUACAUCAUGAACUAUUCAUCAUAACUCCGGCUGAGUUACACUGGGACAGUGUAAUUUAAGUCUGGGGGAGAUUUACUGAUAUAAUUUAUUUUAUUCUUAUGUAAAAAGGAAUUUCAAAUAAAUUAUGCUUAGCUAUUGAAAAUAGGGACUAUAAUCUUAUACUGAUUUAAACAUGAAUAUCUAACCAAUCUUUAGCACCAUUUUAGAUUUACUGAUUGCAGAUAGCACUAAAGAUGCUAAAGCAGAUCAACCUAUCAACUACACACUUGCCUUGAACCGUAUGAAGUAACCAGAGCUGAUUUCCAACAGUAAACCUGACAUAACCGCUUGUCUUGGGGCUUGGUAUACAUGGGAUCGGAUUCUUCAGACAGGUCUGGAAGGUAACGCCUGGUUUAGAUUAUUUAUCACAUUUUUUCUCUCUAGAUUUUGACCCUAGAUUAGUUAGUGAGUAUAUAAAAAAAAUAAUAAUAAAUAAAUAAAUAAAAAUAAAAAAUAAAUAAGAUCUAUUGUUUAAUUAGGAUGAGUCUGAACAGGACUUGGUGGCUAAAACCAUUAAGGCUUGAUUCAUAAGGACACAAAUAAAAGAGUUUGAAACGGGACUUGGAGGCGGCAAUCUUCAAGGCUCGCUUUCGCAAAGAACUCUUGGAUAUAGGUCUGGCUAGAACCCGUCGAUCGAUGUCCUUAACUGACAAUCGAUCGAUGUUGGCAAAGGUGUAUCGGUCGACGUCUUAAUAGACUAUCGAUCGACACUCUCUUUUGUCUGCAUCUAACCGGUGAGACACAAGAUCUAGUCUGUUAACCAGUGGUACAUGCAUUUAAUUGUUUCCUAGCUCCUUGUGGAUUCGAUCCCUAAGUACUACAUCUAAACCUCUUUUGAUGAGAGUAACACUUCUUAGGGUAAUUUGAGUGGUAUCAACAGACAUAGCCAUCUCACAAAGAUGACUCUCGUACAUCCGACACAAAGAUAAUAGCGCUAUAAAAGAAACCCAAAAUUUUGGUCUAGCACUCCCAGUUGGCUUAAAAAUUAUCUCUGGAGAGAUGCUCGACUCGUAUCAAACAAGUCGUGUAAGCCGA